This is a long non-coding RNA of Carassius gibelio (silver crucian carp), 697 nucleotides long. RefSeq lists it as uncharacterized. The record is from RefSeq and is a predicted model, not a curated record. NCBI's taxonomy places the organism in Eukaryota, Metazoa, Chordata, Actinopteri, Cypriniformes, Cyprinidae. The transcript has 3 exons.
CUUAUCUCUGAGGGUAAAAAUAAACCCUCUGAGUGAGAUGUAGAGCCGCAGAAACAGCCCCAGCCCCGAUCAUAAGCAUCAAGAGGAGAGCCAGAGCUUCAACACAGCCCUUCUGCACACAUCUCUGCUGAUAUAUCAGAGUAAAAAUGUCAGACAUCGAAGAAGUGGAGGAGUAUGAGGAGCAGGAGGGUAAGUCUCGUAAUAUUACUUUCAUACUUCCACUGUAUGCAAGCAAAUACUCUUCUUGUUUUAAAGUAGGUCAUAAAUAGCGGCCUUGCAGCUACAUAGUUUUAUGUAAAAGAUACAGCAUGUUUUUUUUAAACAGGGUUGUUAAAGAAUUGUGUCAUUACACUGAUAUUUGAAAUAGGAGAUAACCUUCAAAAACGACCCGCUUAUCAGGUUUUUACACCUGAAAAUCAUAAAUAGUCUGACAUGUAAAAGUGCGGUUGCAAGAUAUGGUGAACCGUCCUGUAGAUUUAUGAGUUUUGUUAGUUCAGCUUGUCAGCUUUCAACAAAACACACCCAAAAAUGACAAAUGUGGAAUAAGUAGAGCAGAACGUCCUGAAGCAGGGGCAUAUCAUCACUAAAACAUUGCUAUGUUUCACUGUCUCCAGAUCUCUUAGCUUCAGUUUUUGUGAUGUGUUCUUGUUUGUUUUCUUACCAAACCUGCAUGGUGUGUGCUCAGAGGAGCAGGAGG